AGCGAACGCUGGCGGCAGGCUUAACACAUGCAAGUCGAACGGGCGUAGCAAUACGUCAGUGGCAGACGGGUGAGUAACGCGUGGGAACGUACCUUUUGGUUCGGAACAACACAGGGAAACUUGUGCUAAUACCGGAUAAGCCCUUACGGGGAAAGAUUUAUCGCCGAAAGAUCGGCCCGCGUCUGAUUAGCUAGUUGGUGAGGUAACGGCUCACCAAGGCGACGAUCUGUAGCGGGUCUGAGAGGAUGAUCCGCCACACUGGAACUGAGACACGGUCCAGACUCCUACGGGAGGCAGCAGUGGGGAAUUUUGGACAAUGGGGACAACCCUGAUCCAGCCAUGCCGCGUGAGUGAAGAAGGCCUCGGUUGUAA
Molecule: ribosomal RNA, 372 nt
Filed under: uncultured bacterium
Lineage: Bacteria
Description: bacterial SSU rRNA
Rfam family: Bacterial small subunit ribosomal RNA
Source: RNAcentral